GCGGGUAGAGCUCAAGUGGCAGAGUGUGUGCUUAGCAAGCACAAGGUCCUGGGUUCAAUCCCCAGUACCUUCU
Molecule: transfer RNA, 73 nt
Organism: Camelus ferus (Wild Bactrian camel)
Lineage: Eukaryota; Metazoa; Chordata; Mammalia; Artiodactyla; Camelidae
Rfam family: tRNA
About the family: Transfer RNA (tRNA) molecules are approximately 80 nucleotides in length. Their secondary structure includes four short double-helical elements and three loops (D, anti-codon, and T loops).
Source: Rfam